GCUUGGUGUGGUGGUGCACAUCUGUAAUCCCAGUAGCUUGGGAGGCUGAGGCAGGAGGAUUGUGAGUUCAAAGCCAGCCUUAGCAAAAGUGAGGCUCUAAGUAACUCAGAGAGACCCUGUCUCUA
This 125-nucleotide small RNA is filed under the name Marmota monax (woodchuck). The record is from RNAcentral. Lineage: Eukaryota; Metazoa; Chordata; Mammalia; Rodentia; Sciuridae.